This 2121-nucleotide ribosomal RNA is filed under the name Triticum aestivum (bread wheat). RNAcentral describes it as "partial small subunit ribosomal RNA". The record is from RNAcentral. Lineage: Eukaryota; Viridiplantae; Streptophyta; Magnoliopsida; Poales; Poaceae.
AUGAGAAGCCCAGUUUCGCAAUUUCAUUCACAGCAGCUGCUACUUCCAGUCAUUCUAGUACUCAUCCUUGCCGCGGCGGCUGAGGGGCAGCUGCCGGCGGCUCGUCGGGGUUGCCGCGACAAGUGCGGCAACAUGAGCGUCCCCUUCCCGUUCGGCAUCGGCCCCGGCUGCUUCCGCCAUGGCUUCAAGGUUUUGUGCAACCACUCUUUUCAUCCCCCUCGCGCCUUCCUCCUUGACAAGAGAAAAUCACUUAAAUACGUGAGGCAGGAGUACUUCUCGUCUUCUUUCCUUGAGACUUGGUCGCCACCGCUGGAGCUGAUGAGCAUAUCAGUCGCAACGGGAGAGGCCAGAGCGUACGCCCUCGUCUCGUCCCUCUGCAGCAGAAAUAUCACCGGCGAUAACUUGUACAUGGUCCAGCAUAUGGAUUUCUCCGGCACGCCGUUCGGGGUGUCCGCGACCCGUAAUGUUCUCAUCGGUGUCGGCUUGGCAGUCGAGCCUGAACUGACAUACAGGCCGCUGAACCGCGGAUCCUAUACUGACUUAUCUUGUCGUGCACAAGAAGUCUGGUCCAGCCUGGACGCGACCAACGGGUCGUGCACAGGGUGGGGCUGCUGCGAGAUCCCCUUCCCGCCUCUCGGCAAGACUUUCAGAUUAUCUGUCAAGGACGACGGCUACAACCCACGGUGGAGAACCAACCCGUGCAACUACGGCAUGCUGGUGGAGAGAUCAAGGUACAACUUCUCUACUCUGGACAUGCAGGGCAACUGGACGCUACUCAAAAGGUUCUCCCGCGGUGUCCAUCUUGCGCUCGAUUUCGCCAUCGGGAACACUUCGUGUCCGGCGGAAGGACAGCCAUCGCCUCCGGACUACGCCUGCGUCAGCGGCAACAGCUCUUGUGCCAACGCAGACGCUGCGGAUACUCCUGCCUAUGUAUGCAAGUGCUGGGACAAGUACACUGGCAACCCUUACCUCCCCAAUGGAUGCCAAGAUAUUGAUGAGUGCAAGCAACCCCAAUUGUAUCCCUGCCAAAAUGGUCGGAUCUGCAAAAACAGGAUAGGAGGCUAUGACUGUCCAUGCAAAUUCGGAAUGAAGAGCGACGGCAAAGCGGGAACCUGCACACAUGUACUACUCACUACAGCAGCAAAGGCGACCAUGGGUUCCAUACUUGGUAUUCUUGUCAUGGCGGUUCUAUUUGUUGUUAUCCUUCACAAAGAAAAAAAGAAGACCAAAGAGUUCUACAAAAAGAAUGGUUGUCCUACACUAGAGAAGGCAAAUGUCAUUAAACUUUUCAAAAAGGAGGAGCUCAAGCCAAUUUUAAAGAGUAGCAACUUAAUUGGGAAAGGUUGCUUUGGUGAAGUUUACAAGGGUCUUCUUGAUAAUAAAAAUGUUGCGAUAAAGAAGCCCAUUAAUGGGAGCGUGCUAGAGAGUGAUUAGUUUGCAAAUGAAGUUAUCAUCCAAUCUCAAGUCAUCCACAAGAACAUUGUCAGGCUCAUUGGUUGUUGCCUUGAAGUUGACGCGCCCAUGCUGGUUACGAAUUUAUCUCCCAAGGUAGCUUGCAUGAUAUUCUUCACAAAGAAAAUAACAAGGUGCCUCUCAACUUGGAUACCCGUUUAAAUAUCAUUGCACAGUCAGCGGAUGGUCUAGCUUAUAUGCACUCAAAAGCAAAUAUUAAGAUUCUACAUGGUGAUGUUAAACCAGCAAAUAUACUCUUGGAUGAUAACUUUGUACCCAAGAUUUCAGACUUUGGCAUAUCUAGGCUGAUUGCAAGAGACAAGGAACACACUACAUCAAUCAUUGGCGACAUGAGUUAUAUGGAUCCGGUGUAUCUACAAGAAGGCCUGCUCACCAAAAAAAGUGAUGUUUACAGUUUCGGGGUUGUAAUCUUGGAGCUUAUUAGCAGGAGGAGGGCCAUGCAUUCUGACAAUAAUAAGUUGGUAAAGAAUUUUCUUGAAGCCCAUAAGAAACAAAAGAAAGCGACUGAGUUUUUUGACAAAGAAAUUGCGAUGACAGAAGAUUUGGAGCUUCUUGACAGUCUAGCAGGUCUGGCUGUGGAAUGCCUUAGCCUUGACGUGGAUGAAAGACCAACGAUGAUGGAGGUAGCUGAGAGGCUACUCAUACUAG